CCCCGCUUCUAACUUCACCACAACGGAAGGUGACGACCAUGCGCAGGGUAAAUCCAACUCAACUUCGAAUAAAUUUUUUCUUUGGUUUAAACUCACAAAGACUGAAAAAA
Onthophagus taurus is the source of this 110-nucleotide non-coding RNA. Lineage: Eukaryota; Metazoa; Arthropoda; Insecta; Coleoptera; Scarabaeidae. The record is from RefSeq and is a predicted model, not a curated record.